Cinclus cinclus is the source of this 658-nucleotide long non-coding RNA. RefSeq lists it as uncharacterized. The record is from RefSeq and is a predicted model, not a curated record. Lineage: Eukaryota; Metazoa; Chordata; Aves; Passeriformes; Cinclidae. The transcript has 3 exons.
GAGGGGAGAGCGGGGGCCGGGCCGGCUGCCCUGGGGGUGCUCUGGUGCAAGACGCGCAUUCCCCGCGCCUCCACGGCUCCGAGUCCGCCCCUUGUCCUUCUGUCAAUACGCUGGUGGUUGCUGCAGCUAAAUUUGAUUGAGGUCUCCGAGAUAAUGACGCUCCUGCCUAUAAAAAUUGGUAAUGGAGGAGAAAGACCUUCCAAAACCUGCAUUGCUUCUGGGAAGAAGAAAGGCCUACCGUUAACCAGGCCCACCGUUAACUACAAGGAUAGACUGAGACGCGAAUCAUAAACUUUAUUUCCCCCACCUUUAUUACAAAAGCAUUUUAAAACGUGCCUAUCCUAUUCCUAAAAAUUGAAUAUGAGAACUUUCAGUUCGGACAUGCCAUCACUGCUACUGGGAGAGGAACACAGCUCUCAGCAGACAAAUACACCGGGCAGCAAAACAUCACCAGCACUGGGCUUCUUCAGAAAUCAGAACAGCCGCUUUUUACCAGUUUGUGAGUGUUUGAAUGCGCCAUCGGAAAGGCAGCCACAGACCCGGCUGUGUGGGAUCUGCCUAUGUUACCCUGUGAAGGCAUUUCAGGAGCACAGCUCUGCGGAGACAGACUGCUAAAUAAACAGAAUCUUCAAUCAUAGAAUACAUAUCUGGAUCCAAG